CCUUAAUCCGGAGGUAGGAUUUUAAGUUAAUAUGAUAGAAUGUGAAUUUACAAGCAUGUAGGAAGAAACGAGAGGUUAAACGGAUAAACGGUUCAAAAGUUAUGCGCGUUUUAGCGCGUACGAACGACAAAACAACAUCAGUUUUGCCAGACGCCUUAUUUAGCUGUUUACGGGUGUUUCUGGCUACGGGUAAAGGCAAGGCCCGUCGCCGAAGCCUCUAGGGCCGUCGCCGACGGCCUCCCCAAGUCUCAAAAGCUGAAAUCUUGUUAUUUAAGUUGAUUUAUGUAUCGUAGGCUUCGGUUUGUUACCCGUGGACUACGGCGGGUUUUCUAAACAUGAUUUGAUAGAUCCUUAGAUGUUUAUGGGCUAUAAAUCAAAGUCUAAGUCCCAUGUAAAUAUUGUAUGAUUAUGUAAAGAUGUAGGAAAGGUAUGUACGUAUGUAGUUGUGUAUGUAUGUAUGUGUAAGGACAUAUAUGAGGGUAUGCACGUAAGUAAAGUUGUAGGAAAGGCAUGUGUGUAUGUAGAUGUGUAUGUAUGUUUGUAUGUAAGUACGUAUGCAUGCAUGAAUUGAUAUGUUCGAAUUUUAACGUUACUAAUUAUGCGUUUGAGGUCGGUAUGUAAUGCAGGAAUGAGUACAUCGGAUUCUUAUGAAAUUUAAGCCCAACCCGGAAUAAGAGGAUGAGUGAUACACGGACUUCUUCUACUACUUAGGAGGUGAAGCGGACGUAAAUCGAGUCAAGAGCAAGGAUUGCACGGAUAGAUCGACCAUAUAGUUGAAAUAUAUAACGUCUAGAAAUGUAAAUUUUUAAAGCUCUUUUCCGCUGCGUCAUUUUUAAGGUAAAACGUGUUAGGGCGUAACAUAACAUGCGAACAUUGUUUACAACAUGCGAUGUUGGUAUUUUUUUUUACAACAUGCGAUUUUUGCAUUAAAAAUAACAUGCGAACAUUGUUUUUUGCAA
Long non-coding RNA from Helianthus annuus (common sunflower), 959 nucleotides. RefSeq lists it as uncharacterized. The record is from RefSeq and is a predicted model, not a curated record. NCBI's taxonomy places the organism in Eukaryota, Viridiplantae, Streptophyta, Magnoliopsida, Asterales, Asteraceae. The transcript is spliced from 2 exons.